This is a long non-coding RNA of Spinacia oleracea (spinach), 1543 nucleotides long. RefSeq lists it as uncharacterized. The record is from RefSeq and is a predicted model, not a curated record. The transcript is spliced from 2 exons. Lineage: Eukaryota; Viridiplantae; Streptophyta; Magnoliopsida; Caryophyllales; Amaranthaceae.
CAAUCAUUUGCAUCACCAUAUUUGCCUCGCACAUUUAAACAUGUGACGCAAUUGACAGUUUUAAGCAUUAAAAUUAGUCAUUUGCGUCGCAGAAUUACUAAUCUGCGACGCAGAUGACUCUAAGAUGUUCUUAAAGUCAUUUGCGUCGCAGAUUAAUAAUAAUGCGACGCAAAAUAUUACCUCCUUUGCGUCGCAGAAUUACUAAUCUGCGACGCAGAUGACUCUUAGAGUCAUCUGCGUCGCAGAUUUACUAAUCGGCGACGCAAAGGAGGUAAAAAAUUUUCGGUUUCUAAUUAAAAUUUAAUUAUUACCUUUUCCUUUUCUUUUUUAAUUUGGUGCGACGCCCUGCUCCCAUUCCCUUUCUCCCUCAUACAUUUCCUGCCUCCCCAAACUCUUUCUCUCUCAUAAUUUCCAGAUCUCCAUUGUUGAAAUUCCAAAGCUUCUCUGUCUCUCCUUCAGAAUCAGUAUCGAGCUUUCCCUUCAAAGUCUCCUCUCACCAAAUCAUCCCAAUAUCUCAAAUUUGUUUUAAAAUUCAAGCUUAGCGAAUACGAAGGAGGCAAACCCAGAUCUGAAAGCGAUGACGUCUUCAGCCGGAUUUCAAGCCGCAUUCUCUGCAAACUCCAGCUCUGAGGUGGAUGACUCGGCGGCGACUCAUCUGGGUGCGGUGGAAGUGGGGCUGAGUUUUUGGGGAAUCUGUUGAGUCGACUCAGACCGAGUUGGUCCCGAGUUACACCGCCAUAACAACGCCGAAGUGUUGGUGCUGGAGUUUCGGUUUUUAUCGCCACCGACCUUGAAUACCUUGUUUCGAUCUAAAGGCAACCCUGCAGUAGAAGCAAGAACUUAAUAGACACACAUAUGCCACAUAUAUGACAGAAAAAACAACUAAUUUAGUCUUUUGGAACCUUGAAGAAAUCUUCGCUGACAUCUUACAGUCUGAACUCAGCCCAUAGAACAGUAGAGGAUGUAGAACUUGGACCAGACUGGGACCAGAAAGCCAACAGCCUGCUGCGUAAACAUUUUGGGUACUCCGGGUUGAAAAGUUUUCAAAUGGAAGCUCUUGGUGCUUGGUUUUCUCAGCAAGACUGUCUUGUUCUUGCAGCAACAUGGUCUGGUAUUUAUUUUCUGAUUCUUAUUCUCCCUUUUCUGUGCAUUUCUUCUUGAAUCCUUUGUACAAUGUAUAUACUGUGUCAAUGUUUUUGAGGCUUUAAUGUUUCUACAGGGAAAUCUCUGUGCUUUCAGCUACCUGCGCUUUUUCUUUUCUUAAUAAGGGUGAAUAUGUAUUGCCUUUGUUGCUAAGAAUGUGAUUGUUCUGCUAUUUUUGUUUGUUUUCUUUGGGCUGAUUACAUUAUGAGCAAUGUCGAUAUUUAGCUAGUUUAUUGUAAUAUUUACUUAAACUUUUAUGUUUAAAGUGUAGUUAGGUUAUCAACAUGUUGGUUGAUCUAUGGUGAAUUUGCCUUUUAUUGGGUUGUAAACUGUUUUGACAGGUAUAUAUUAAUGUAUUAUAACAUUCCCGGUAUUGGGGAGGGUCAAAUUACAAAGGAAA